CGCGGGGUAGAGCAGUUUGGUAGCUCGUCGGGCUCAUAACCCGGAGGUCGUAGGUUCGAAUCCUGCCCCCGCCA
Molecule: transfer RNA, 74 nt
Filed under: Phycisphaerae bacterium
Lineage: Bacteria; Pseudomonadati; Planctomycetota; Phycisphaerae
Description: tRNA-Met
Rfam family: tRNA
About the family: Transfer RNA (tRNA) molecules are approximately 80 nucleotides in length.
Source: RNAcentral